Molecule: long non-coding RNA, 4189 nt
Organism: Pipistrellus kuhlii (Kuhl's pipistrelle)
Lineage: Eukaryota; Metazoa; Chordata; Mammalia; Chiroptera; Vespertilionidae
Exons: 3
Source: RefSeq, a predicted model, not a curated record
UCCGAUCAUGAAUUGCCCUGCUUAAAACUUUCCAAUGUCUUUCCAUUGCUCUUAGGGUGAAACCCUGACUUCUAUAGCCCACAGGGAGAGUGAAUGCAGCGUUUGCCGUCCAUAUUGGGAUGGCUCUGAUGUUUAUGAUGGGACGACAGUUAUAAUGGGGACUCCCAGGAAAAGCAAGAUGUGGCCACCAGGCUCUGUGACUCUUGCUCCGAGCCUCAUUUCCUCCUGUGCCCAUCCACUCACUUGGCAGCAGGGUUUUGCUACUGGUGGUAGCACUGCCAGUGAAAUAGAUGGAAAUAUACAGCCUGACUCAUGCCCUAAAAAUGGUUUGAAACCAUACAGAAGGAGUCUUCCAGUUUGGAAUCCUAGAAAGCGCCUGAGAAAGCCCAGCGUCUCCCCCAGGAUGUCAUGGCCUUUCCUGAAGGGUCACCUUGACGCACAGCCUGCAAAACUCUUAAGGAGAGCUUUCCACCUUCUUGCAUAUUCUAAUUUCAUCGAUCUUAAAGAGUCAUCAUUGCCAUUUCUCUCUUUGCCUGUGGAUGACUGAAGAAUGCUUGUGAGCAUAAACACUAAGUGACUUAUUUACAUUAAAUAAUACCCUGCUCAUUCCCAGGGGCUGACAAACUCAGUGGCCUCUAGAAAUCAGUCACAUGACAGCUUGGCUUUGGGUGGAAAAUAAAUAGAAACGGGGCCAAUACACUGUGAGGCCUGCCCCUGAAUCAGCUUUCGGGUUUUGAGAGAGAGUACUAGUAUAUGACAGCACAGUCUCCAUUUAACCUUUAACAGCCCGUGUUAUCUAUUAAAAUGUUAGAUUUAUUGUUAAUUAAAGCUUCAUUUGUCUAAGUCUUCUCUCUUCUCAAACUGACUAUAAGCUCUUUACAUGCUAUACUUCUGUCUUCAUUCAUUUGUUUGCUCAGUUAGAGAACAAAUAUGUACUGUAUGACUAUCAUGUGUGUAUGCUUUGGUAAGCCAUAGGGGGUGCAAAGAUGAGCAAGACGUAUUCCUUACUUUCAAGACACUCACAGUUCACUAGUUCCUUCACAGUCUGACAGUCUCAUUCAGAGGUCUCAUCUCCCAAGGUUACUGACACAGAAGGUGCUUAAGAAGGUGCUUAAUAAAUGUUUGAAGAAUUUGCUCAAGCCCUGAACCCAUGAUACUGUGGUUGUGCAUGCAACUUUUGCUAAUGAACUUUCAGUAAAACCACCAGAUAAUGUCUUGAGACCUCUUCAAUGAAAACAUUUAGAUCAGAUGUUUUUAGAUCUGGGAAUGAACUAUUUUAGGGCUGAUGUUGAAGACAACGAUUAUUCUGGCCCAACAAUAGCUGGAGCUCUAAACUGCUUAGGAAGUAGGCUCACUUUUCACAUGGACCGACAGCCACACGAACAAAGAGCACAGGAGGAGGAAGACAGUCCGGGAAGCUAACAUUUCCUCUCAGAGCCCGGACUCCACACACUUCACUUCGUGUAGUGAGCAACCACCCAGAGGACACAGUAAUCUGAUGUGGAGGAAAAAAAAAAAGAGCAUUUUUGUUAGCCUUCUGGAUAGUAGGUGACAGAUAUAUCUGUUUGUAUGUAUGCAUGUAUUGAUAAUUUAAAAUGAAAUAUUUACCAAGCACUUUUCUAAGGGGCUUGGUGCUUAAAGAGGUAUAAGCCAUAGUCUGUGCCCCAAGGAGGCAAAUGAUACAAAGAAACACACCCAAAGUGAAAUAACCACAUGAAAGUAAUAUCACAGUGGCCAAGAUUAUUUUAGAGUUGGCUGGAUCCAUAGUGGAUCAUUUGUUGAACAUUUAAUUUAGAGUUUCCUAAAAUGGUGUAUAUGCAUCAUUGGUGGCAUGCAAGGUAUUAUAUUUGGGUGUUACAUAAAUAUUUUAAAAUUUUAUUGGGUGUUUAUUUUAAUAUAUGUUAGAAACAUUUAUAACUACUGUAUCAAAUCCUUGUGGAUGUUUCAUCUUACUGCAAAGUUACAUAGGAAAGUGAGACUGAUGUAAAGACUAAUGAAAUAUACCAAGUGGCCAGGUACAAAGAGGCAACCUGUCUCCCUGCUGGUCCAGGCAUGUGGUGAUGACUCUGCAAGUGUUAUUUGAAUAAUCUGAGUUUGGAAAAUGCAGAUCAAGUCUAGUCUCUGGGGUGCAGAGAGCUUAAGUGAGUUGUCUGCGCUCAGAAGCCAGUAGAGAACAUAGACAAGAACCUAGUCACCUGACUGGCCCUCUGGCCCAUAUCCUCAGUAACCACUUCCUAUUUUGCAGAUGGGGAAACUGUAGCCCUGAAUAAACAGUCCUCUAUUUGAGUGCAACGACUCACGCAAGAAUCUGAAAGCAAAGUAGAAAGGACGAAGUGGACCUCAUGAAAAAAAAUCAAAGUUGAUAUUUAUCGAGCACUUACUAUGCAUGCCAGCACUGUAAAAGUUUCAUACAUGCUAACUUAGGUUAAUCCCCAAGCCAUUCAGUGAGAUGUAUUUAGCUGUUUCUAGAAUUCCUCUUUUCGUAAGGAAAUUAACAAAGACCAAAUAACUUCCCUAAGGUUAUAACUUGCAGAGCUGGGAUUUGAACCCAGGAAGUUCAGUUCCAGAAUGUGUUCCCUAAACCGCUAUGCACACAGCUCACCAGUAGUAAAGUAAGUGAAGAGGUGAGAGAGGCAACCUGCCUCCUGGUGGAACCCGGAACAGUCUGUUCCGACAACAGAUGUAUUACCCUGCGACCUCCUGCUUCCAGCUCUCCAUUAGCCCUUUGUCUAUUUCGUGGAAGACAUAGUUUCUUUACGCCAUCACCUUUCAAUGUGCGGAAACUCCUGAGAGAAAUUAGUGAUUAUCAAAAACAGCACUUUCAUGAGAAAAACUUGUUAGAUUGCAAUAAGGACGAUAAAGCGAUAUCCCAGCCCUCAAGGGAGGAGGGGGAGAGAGUCAUGGGAGGCAAAUGAAGGGAGGGGUAAUUUCUGGACAUGGUGGGCCCAGAAUGGCAUGGAAGAAGGCCCACCAGGGCCUGCCCAGUGAGCUGCGGGGGUCACACAGUAUUGUGAAAGCCCUGUCUGUGUCCUGAGCUUGGCACUGCACGGGGCACAGAGCAGGUGCUCAAAAGCUUUGUUGAGUGAAUGGAAGCCUGGGUGGAAACAGAAGCCAAGCAGCGUGAGUACAGUGAUUGGAGGUGAGAGGGCACCAAGCAAACACUCGACCUACUUUGUAAGCGCACUCCAGGUAAGUCGGAGGAGAGAGCACUGCGCCCCCACCUCCACUCAAGAAAAGGGCUGCGAGCAAACCAUUAACCACGCUCCUGGUGAAACAAACUAGGACGCCUCGCUUUGGGGAAAUCCGUUUUGCUGCUGUCCCCUCUUGUAGCAGCCCCAGCUCUAUCUACAGGUCUAGUCUUCCUUAGGUUACAAGUUCUCAUCCUCCCUCCCUCCAGGGUGCCUCAGGGUGGCCCAGGCCACCCAGGCACCCACAGCCAGCCCUCUUGGUGCUGCUGUAGAUGGGGACCAGCCCAUGCGAUUUCCUCCGCGUCCGAGGGAGAGGAGGCGGCAGGUGCUGACAGCUGAGCCAUUCCACGCAGCUUUAGGGCAAACAACCGCUGGGAAUCCAGGGCCGAGUUUGAGUUCGGGGCCAGAAAAUCCUUCCAAAAGCUGUGCGGACAGACCUGCAUUACAUAAGCUGGGUGUUAGCGGCGCCCCGCUGAUGCACGGAGCCCCGGAUUGCGCCACUCUUACGCAGAAGUGCUCGCUAAGUGUUGCAACAUGACUCCGCAUCCUUAUCACGAUGUGAAGCAGCCACCGGCACACACUCAGAGCCGCCGAAGCUCCCCCGCCAGGUGGUGACGGCUGCUGAGCCGCUGACAGGGGCGAGGGGGCACCGGGGGCAGGACUGACUGUAGCUCUUGGCCCGGGACGCUGGACACGCAGUACCUUGUACCCCGCUGGCCUUGGGCUGCGCAGGUCUCUGAUAAAAUGUACUUUUUUCGGGUGUUUGUUUUUCCUGGCAAUCUCAUUUUGGGUUAUAAAUGGCUCAUUAUUUCCAUCCCAUGGAUUCCUUUCUUGCCCGCUCUUACGUUCUCUCCUUGCUUUCUGAAACAGCCAAAGGUUGGUAAAAAUCAUCACUGACGAAACCUGUGUGCUCUGACCUUGGGCAGAGGUCAGGUUGCCACAUCGCCCUUGCCAUCCUCUGCAGUGGCUGCCACGUGGGAGGGGCUGGCUGGAAAGGCCCC